GAUGAACGCUGGCGGCGUGCCUAAUACAUGCAAGUCGAGCGAACAGACGAGGAGCUUGCUCCUCUGACGUUAGCGGCGGACGGGUGAGUAACACGUGGAUAACCUACCUAUAAGACUGGGAUAACUUCGGGAAACCGGAGCUAAUACCGGAUAAUAUAUUGAACCGCAUGGUUCAAUAGUGAAAGACGGUUUUGCUGUCACUUAUAGAUGGAUCCGCGCCGCAUUAGCUAGUUGGUAAGGUAACGGCUUACCAAGGCAACGAUGCGUAGCCGACCUGAGAGGGUGAUCGGCCACACUAGAACUGAGACACGGUCCAGACUCCUACGGGGAGCAGCAGUAGGGAAUCUUCCGCAAUGGGCGAAAGCCUGACGGAGCAACGCCGCGUGAGUGAUGAAGGUCUUCGGAUCGUAAAACUCUGUUAUUAGGGAAGAACAAAUGUGUAAGUAGCUAUGCACGUCUUGACGGUACCUAAUCAGAAAGCCACGGCUAACUACGUG
Molecule: ribosomal RNA, 497 nt
Filed under: uncultured bacterium
Lineage: Bacteria
Description: partial 16S ribosomal RNA
Rfam family: Bacterial small subunit ribosomal RNA
Source: RNAcentral